AUGUGGACAUGUCCCGCAGCGACCAUGGAAGCCCAGGGGACAGGUGGUGCAGGGAGUCUACCACCUUUCUCCCCCAGAGGGCGCCGGGGACCGCAUUGGCGCAGCCCAACUCAAGUGCAGGGCCGAGGACCGGACCGAGAUAGGCUCCCAGGACGGACCAUUGUAUCCGAGACCCGUUCCCGAGAAGGCCGACGGACCAUAGGGACAGAGCGCCGCAGCCCUCAAUCGGGAGAAGGACGCGGGCGAGAGUCGAAGAGAGGACUGGAACGUUUCCCGAGGCUCACGGAGCCCGGACUUUUGAUUUAUUUUUUACAAAAAAAACGGUGUUCGCAACCCCCGGGGGACUAUACCAGUACACCAGCGCAUGAUGGACCGUCUCCUGCGAUCACACCAGGCCUACGCCGCCGCCUACAUUGAAGACAUCAUCUUCAAUAGCGCCAGCUUGGACAUCCACCUGAGACACCUAAGAGCGGUCCUGGGGGAGCUGAGGAGGGCGGGUCUCACCGCCAACCCCACCAAGUGCCGUCUGGGCUUGGAGGAGGCCUCCUACCUGGGCUACAGAGUCGGACGCGAGAACGUCCGACCCCAGGAGGCCAAGGUCAAGACCAUCCUGGACGGGCCCCUCCAAGAAGCAGGUCAAGUACUUCCUCGGUCUGGUAGGCUAACGUCAAACCAUUUUAAAGCAGAAGUAAUUAGAAAAAAAUGAUAUUCUUGACUGCUUAAUAAGAAAGGCCUUAGCAUCCAUUGCCAAUUAAGGCUCAAUCAAUGUGGUGUGAGGAAAAAGUAUGAACAAGUUAGUUUACAGGUUUAAUUAUUCUGGGAUUAAUCACUUACACAGAACCAUAUACGUCUGUAUAUAUCUAUUUAGAUAUUUGCACAAAAAACAUGCAGAUUAACAAAAGUAGAAAGUGAAGUCAAUUGAUUACAUUAAGGGGCCAUAGAAUGAUUUAAAAUGGUCCUCAUUAUAAUAUGCUUCAUCACAUGCAUUCAGACUGACUGAAAUGCUAUAGGGAAGGCAGAUGUGUCACAUUUAUUGCAAUUUAACCAAACUCCCCUAGCGGCAAACACUAGAGAGAAUCUAGAAUGCAGUGCACCUAAAUUAACUUCAUCCCUACCUUUAUGGAAGUCUGGGUAAACCACUACCUUCUCUGGGCUGUAUUUAUCUUGCCUUCACUGAACAAUGAUAAUGGCAUGCGCACAGUUCACUUCAUUAGACACUCAUUACUUUACUAAUUAACAUUAACUCUUAAGCUCUCUAUGUCAAAUGGCAAACAUUCUGGGUAAUUGAUUAUAAAUCAUUGUGAGCCAUCAAAACAAGACAAAAGACAAGUUAAUAGACUCCGAACUAGCAAAUAAAAGCCUUAGAUGAAUGAGUCAUGGCUUGGGUCAAGGGGAAAUUCAUCAUAUAUUUAAAAGGUUGAGGUAUGAUAACCUUGGAUACAGAAUGAUUUCAUCAAAGGUUCUUCCUAACUUGACCAUUAUAAGAGGGGAGGAAACCGUAUCUAUCGAUAUUACUUUGAACAGCCAUGAUCAAUAAAAACUAUAAUCUUUAGUUAUAAAAUAGGUUUCAAUCCGCUAUUUGUUUAUAAAAGGUAUAUCUUACUAAACUUCCUAAGCAAUUGCUUUAUACUCAAACCACGAGGAUUUAAACACAUUUUUCUCUUGCUUAUUUCUCUUCAGAGGUAAUUAAUUGGCAUCUAAAAGGGGAAAUUGUAAAACAGCCAUAUCUAACAUUACCACAAGCCAUAUGGAUUAAUGUCUUUCAUUAUGGCAUGUUUAUUAAUAAUAAGUGCAAUUUAGCUAAAGGGAGUGAAAUACCGGCCGGUAUGUUUUGGCCCAGCACGCCGCAGCCCAGUAGUGAGUAGUGU
Molecule: long non-coding RNA, 1868 nt
Organism: Gadus morhua (Atlantic cod)
Lineage: Eukaryota; Metazoa; Chordata; Actinopteri; Gadiformes; Gadidae
Source: Ensembl